GUGGUAUUAACACUUUUCUCUUAAAAAAGGAUAUACUUUAAGCAAAUCAUGUCUUCAUUGAAUAAGAUAAACUAUGAAUAAGAUAUUAAAAUAUAUUUCACAUGUUGUUUUUCAGUGAAAACAAGUUGGAUUUCUAGUACCCCGAGCCCUUUGUGAUGUUUUCUAUCAUUUGUUUGCCUAAAUUAUAAUAUAAUUCUUCUAAGGCUAUCAUUUUUAGUCAUACAACCAUGGAGAAAGCUACUGGGUGAUUUUUUUUUUAUUUUGCAGAUCAAUAUUUAAAUAAUAUACUUAUUGAAAUAUUAUACAUAGUACAAAAUAUAAUAGUUCUUAUCAUAGUUGUAACUCAAGAUAGCAUUUAGCAGUAAAAUGAUAGUCAUAUUUUAUUUGCUAUAGCUUUACUAAAUGUUUUAUUAUGAUGAGAAAGUAAUGCAGGGAUUGAAUGACAUGGAAUUUCUCUGCAUCCAUUAUUGGCAUUAAAAUCAAAUAAGUCACAAUUGCAGAAUAUAAAUCAGAAUCGUGUCAGACUUGCUAUCAAAAUAGAGAACACCCAAAACCCACAGUGAGUAAGCUGGAGUUAUCUUGUUCAAAAAAAAAAAAAGUCCUUUGUAUAAUUUUAAAUGACAUUUUAAUCACCUUUGAUUUAUUAUUCCUCUCAUCUAUGUCAGGAUCUUCUGGCCUUAACUGGAAUGAAAACAUACGAUGUGAAACAAGUGUUGCCAAAACGCCACCUCUGUCCACCCGGUGCCAAGCAGAGUUUUGGGUGAAGGAGAAACAAACAAACAAAACAGCUUUAUUGCUUUGCCAGGCAAGUGAGGCCACAGCAGGCUAAAGCCCUAAAGACUCUGCCCUCUUUGGAGAGAGAAUAGGAGGUGGUUUUAUAGUUUGCGGAGUGGAAAGGCCCACGGAUAAGAAUCAGCGUAGAUGCAGGCUUGGCGUCUUCUUCAAACCUGGUGUUUAGCGGACCUGGAUCUGGCUCUUGUGGGCCUCCUCCUUUCUGGAGUGAAGAAGGCUUCAUAACACUUUGCUUCUGCUGGGGGGCUUAGUUCUGCAGAAGAACUCAAAGAUAAUGGGAGUUCCCAUUGUGGCUCAGAGGUAAGGAGCCCAACUAGUAUCCAUGAGGACAUGGGUUCCUCCCUGGCCUUGCUCAGCAUUGCUGUGAGCUGUGCUGUAGGUUGAAGAGGAGGCUUGAAUUCCGCAUUGCUGUGGGUGUGGUCAAGGCUGGCAGCUGUAGCUCCCUUUUGACCUCUGGCAGGAGAACUUCCAUUUGCCCCAGGUGCAGCCCUAAAAACCGAAACAUAAAAAAAUUAAAAAGCUAUUGUUAUGUAUAUUCCUUGAGGAGGAACCAGGACCCUGCCCCAAGGCUGCUCUAUUGUUUCUUGACUGGUUCCUCCCUUGUCUCUGCAUCCCCUCCCUUCCCUGAUUAGCAACUGUUUGAACCUGCCCUUCCGAGCUCAGAGAAGGCCUUGGAGGCUAAAUGAGGCCUAUUUCCUAACAACAGAAAUGUGUACACAAAGGCUUCUGUGCCCAGGGGCCCCAAAGGGCCCUGCUCACUUUAACACACAGUUGCAGACGUGUAUUAUAUGAUCAAGGCCUGAGCUGGUCCUGAGCUCCUGCUUCUAGGAGACAUGUAAUGGUGUGGCCCAGGAGGGCCUUGGCCUGGCAAAGUCUGUUUUUUUGUAUAUUCUCAAUUUUAGAAAGAAAGGUUUUGAACCUUCAUACCUACAACAGAUAAUAAAGAGGGAAACGACUGUGUGUAGACAAUGCAGCUACUAUUCCAAGAGAAUACAGGUUGGGAGGAUUCAAUUUUAUGAGACUGAUCACACGGCCAUAGGCAGUAUUUGAAAUCACAGAUUGGAAGCUAGGAUUCUAAAUAAAUCAACUGAUAAAAAUCUAUUAACAACAUGGUGUUUUCAAAAAAAUCACAAAGGUUUAAAGCAGAGCACACACUAAGGGUUUCAGAACUGGAAAAUGGUGGAACAAAACAAUGUAGGACUGAAGUUAAUCCAUUCAAGGAUACAAACACAUUCCUUAUCACACUGGUUCAAAGUCUUUGACCUUCCUUUACCAAAGAACCCGAGUCCUACAUCAGACCCAUUGCAUAUUCUAUUUUUAAUUUAAUUUUUAUUGUAUAAUGGAGUGUAACUGAUUUACAAUUUUGUAUUAGCUUCAGGUGUAUAGCACGGUGAUUUCAGUUAUAUGUAUACAGAUAUCCACUCUUUUUUUGAUUCUUUUCCCAUAGGGGUUAUCACAAAAUGAGUUGAGCUCCAUGUGCAGUAUGGUAGGUCCUUGUUGAUUAUCUAUUUCCUACCUAGUAGUGUGUAUUGUCAAUCCCAAACUCCUAACAUAUCCCUUCCCAUUCACCCUUCCUCCCCUUUGGUAACCAUAUGUCUGUUUUCUAAGUCGGUGAGUCUGUUUCUGUUUUGUAAAGGAGUUCACUUGUAUCACUUUCAAAAUUAGACUCCAAAUGUAAGUGAUAUGUGAUCUUUUUCUCUUUCCAGCCUAUUUCACUGAGUAUGAUCAUAUCUAGGUCUGUACAUGGUUCAUUCUCUUCAUUCUUCUUAUGGCUGAGUGAUAGUCCACUGUAUACAUGUACCCCAUCUUCUUUAUCCAUUCCUCUGUUGAUGGACGUUUGGGUUGUGCCCAUGUUUUGGCUUUAUAAAUAGUGCUGCAGUGAACACUAAGGUGGAUGUAUCAUUUCAAAUUACGAUUUUCUUUGGAUGUAUGCCCAGGAGUGGGAUUGCAGUAGCAUACCAUAGUUCUAUUUGUAGUCUUUCAAGGAACCUCCGCAUUGUUCGCCAAGACUAAUUUACAUUCCCACUAACAGUGUAGGAGGGUUCCCAUUUCUCCACAUCCUCUCCAGCAUUUAUUAUUUGUAGAUUUUUUUUUUUUUUUUUGUCUCUUGUCUUUUUAGGGCUGCACCCAUGGCAUAUGGAGGUUCCCAGGCUAGGGGUCAGAUGGGAACUGUGGCCACCGCCCUACACCACAGCCGCAGCAAUGCCAGAUCCUUAAACCACUGAGCAAGGUCAGGGACUGAAGCUGUGUCCUCAUGCACACUAGUUGGGUUUGUUAACCACUGAGCCACAAUGGGAACUCCUAUUUGUAGACUUUUGAUGAUGGCCAUUCUGACUGGUUGAGGUGAUACUUCAUUGUAGUUUUGAUUUGUGUUUCUCUUAUAAUUAGUGAUGUUGAGCAUCUUUUCAUGUGCCUUUUGGCCAUUGGAACGUCUUCUUCGGUGAAAUGUCUGCUUGGAUCUUCUGCCCAUUUUUUGAUUCUUUACAGUGCUCUACAUAAGCAUAUUUAAUAGACUGCAUACAAUUCAUCCAACAAAGGGAAGUUCAAUCAUUAUUAACAAAUUAUUGUGCUUUUGUGCCCAGGUUUAUGCCUUCCUGAAGUCUCUCGAUUGAAAAAUUCCCUCUUAGAGAAAUUCAUCCUAGAAAUAGCUGUACUGUAUAAAUUUCUUGAUUUUUAUACUGUUUUCCCAUGUUUAAUUUUAAAUUUUAUAAAAUAUGGCCACCUUUUUGUAAUGGUAACAAUGCAUAUGACUGCAGAGAUACUUAAAAGUAGUAAAGAAAAUCAGUGCAAUGGGAUAGGUGUGUCUUGGGAGCUGCGGGCAGUGGGCUUGACCUCUGGCCUGACACAGUUGGUUAGGGGUUCAGUGUUGCCACAGCUGUGGUUUACAUCACAACCACGGCUCC
RNAcentral lists this long non-coding RNA (3695 nucleotides) under Sus scrofa (pig). RNAcentral's name for it is "lncRNA (ENSSSCG00030039745.1)". The record is from RNAcentral. Lineage: Eukaryota; Metazoa; Chordata; Mammalia; Artiodactyla; Suidae.